UACGUAGGGCGCAAGCGUUAUCCGGAAUUAUUGGGCGUAAAGAGCUUGUAGGCGGUUUGUCGCGUCUGCUGUGAAAUUUCGGGGCUCAACCCCGAACUUGCAGUGGAUACGGGCAGACUAGAGUGUGGUAGGGGAGACUGGAAUUCCUGGUGUAGCGGUGAAAUGCGCAGAUAUCAGGAGGAACACCGAUGGCGAAGGCAGGUCUCUGGGCCAUAACUGACGCUGAGAAGCGAAAGCAUGGGGAGCGAACAGG
RNAcentral lists this ribosomal RNA (253 nucleotides) under uncultured bacterium. RNAcentral describes it as "partial 16S ribosomal RNA". It matches the Rfam family "Bacterial small subunit ribosomal RNA", at positions 524 to 776 of the family's 1533-position model. The record is from RNAcentral.